AAGUCGUAACAAGGUUUCCGUAGGUGAACCUGCGGAAGGAUCAUUAACACUUUACAAAAAACAAAACUCAAAAUUUCCCUUUUGAAUCCCUCUCUUUUCUUUUCUCUUUCUCUUCUCUUCGGAGGGGAGACUGAGAGAGUCAAGAGAUUUUCAAAUUUAAUUUGAACAAAAAUGUGUAACCUUACUUUUUUACUUAUGGAUUUGAGGACAGAGGACGAGGGGGGGAUUUUCUCUCUCUCUCUUCGUGGUUCUCAGAUUUUCUCAUAAACCAGUUAAACCCAAUAAAUCAAAAUAUGGCGUAUCAGAGGUCUUGUCUUUUGACUUGCCCUCUUGAUCCCCCAUAGUUAAACCAAAAACAAAAAACCAAAAACUAAAAAACUAAAAAAUAAAACACAACUCUUAACAAUGGAUAUCUUGGUUCUCGC
This 425-nucleotide unclassified non-coding RNA is filed under the name fungal sp. Its description in RNAcentral is "partial internal transcribed spacer region". The stretch from base 1 to 46 matches the Rfam family "Eukaryotic small subunit ribosomal RNA", at positions 1786 to 1831 of the family's 1831-position model. The record is from RNAcentral. Lineage: Eukaryota; Fungi.